GUCUUUUUGAUUAUAAUUUAAAGUCUAGCCUGCCCGAUGAAUUAUUCAAUGGCCGCAGUAUUUUAACUGUGCGAAGGUAGCAUAAUAAUUAGUUUUUUAAUUGAGAACUGGUAUGAAUGGCUGGACGAGAAAAUAGCUGUCUCAAUUUAAUUUAAAUUAGAAUUUUAUUUUUAAGUUAAAAAGCUUAAAUUUUUUUAAAAGACGAGAAGACCCUAUAGAGUUUUAUAUCAAGAUUAUAUUUAAUUUAGGAAGUAUUUGUUUUAUUUUAUAUAGUUUUAAUAUUUUAUUGGGGUGAUAUAAAAAUUUAAUAAACUUUUUAUUUUUUAAGCCAUUAAUAUAUGAUUAAAUGAUCCAUUUUUUAUGAUUAAAAGAUUAAAUUACCUUAGGGAUAACAGCGUAAUUUUUUUUUAGAGUUCUUAUCGAAAAAAAAGUUUGCGACCUCGAUGUUGAUUUAAA
Molecule: ribosomal RNA, 456 nt
Filed under: Aphodius quadrimaculatus
Lineage: Eukaryota; Metazoa; Arthropoda; Insecta; Coleoptera; Scarabaeidae
Description: partial 16S ribosomal RNA
Rfam family: Bacterial large subunit ribosomal RNA
Source: RNAcentral